Leucoraja erinaceus (little skate) is the source of this 1160-nucleotide long non-coding RNA. RefSeq lists it as uncharacterized. The record is from RefSeq and is a predicted model, not a curated record. NCBI's taxonomy places the organism in Eukaryota, Metazoa, Chordata, Chondrichthyes, Rajiformes, Rajidae. The transcript is spliced from 2 exons.
UUUUAUUUUUCAUUUGUUUCGAAAAUCUUUUGAUAAUUUCGAUUCACACUUUUUUCAAAAGCAUUUUUAACAGCUUUAAGCAAAGAUCCUACAGGGAGGUUUCACGGCAGUGGGGUCACGACCCAUGACCCAUGACCCAUGACCCGUACUGUUGCUACACUACGCCAAGUGGAGGACACGCGAUGAACUGCAGGUUGGCAUUUACCAUUGUUUCCAGCGUAGCGGGCCCGUUAAAACUGCGCUGUAAAUAAUGAUGGAAAUCUGGAUGAGCGUGAGAGACAUUUAGCCGACUUCACAAUUCCAAAACUGAGGAGAAAUGACGGUAGAUAGAAGUGAGAGCUGAAGGGACAACAGACAGAGUGAUUGGCGAACAUUGGCCGUUUGCUCACUGCAUUUCAUCAACACUAAAGCAUUAUUUGUGUUUUUUCUUGAUUCCUUUGGCAUCUAAAAAGUUUCAGAAGUGAUAAAUCUGCCUCUCAUUUCUUUAAAUCGACCAUGGUUCUCGUGGGUUUUUACAUGCAAAAUGAAAACGCAGCUGAAGAAAAAUUUACAGGCAGAUUUAUCACUUCUGAGUAUUUUUAGAUACCAAAGGAAUCAAGAAAAAACACGAAUAAUGCCUUACUGUUGAUGAAAUGCAGUGAGCAAACGGCCAAUGUUCGCCAAGCACACUGGCUCUUGUUGUACCUUCAGCUCUCGUUUCUAUCUACCGUCAUUUCUCCUCGCUUUUGUAAUUGUGAAACGUGAUAAUUCCCAAUAUUUUCAAUGUUUACCAAGCACUUUAGCUGCUGUUGUCCCUUCAGUUCUCGCUUCUCUAUACCUUCAUUUCGCUUCACGUUUGGAAUUCUGAAGUUGGGUACAUGUCUCUCAUACUUACUCCGACUCCCACUAUUAUUUUCAGUGUAACAAUUCAACAUUUUGGCGGUUUUUAACAGGUAGGAAAGUACGCGUUUUUAGCAUUAAUAACAUAUACCGGAAGUGACGGAUGUCCUCCAGUUGGAUUUAGCGGCUCCGUGCGUCGAGCCCUAUGACCCGGUGACCUUACGUAAGAUCCCCCCUCAAUCUUCUAAAUUCUAGCGAGUACAAACUGAGUCUAUCCAGUCUUUCUUCAUAUGAAAGUCCUGACAUCCCAGGAAUCAGUCUGGUGAACCUUCUCUGUACUA